UACGUAGGUGGCAAGCGUUGUCCGGAAUUAUUGGGCGUAAAGCGCGCGCAGGCGGUCCUUUAAGUCUGAUGUGAAAGCCCUCGGCUCAACCGAGGAGGGUCAUUGGAAACUGGAGGACUUGAGUGCAGAAGAGGAAAGUGGAAUUCCAAGUGUAGCGGUGAAAUGCGUAGAGAUUUGGAGGAACACCAGUGGCGAAGGCGACUUUCUGGUCUGUAACUGACGCUGAGGCGCGAAAGCGUGGGGAGCGAACAGG
RNAcentral lists this ribosomal RNA (253 nucleotides) under uncultured bacterium. RNAcentral describes it as "partial 16S ribosomal RNA". It matches the Rfam family "Bacterial small subunit ribosomal RNA", at positions 524 to 776 of the family's 1533-position model. The record is from RNAcentral.